CCUCUCGGGGGUAAGCGGGCAGAACUUGCAMGUAUUGGCGAGAGAUUCAGACUUAGAUUUDGAGGUUGAGUAUAUUUGUUAAGUUGUUCAUUCGUGAACUGACUAAUUUGUGUACUUUAUUCCUUUGAAAAUGCGUCGCAUUUCUCUUUGUCAUUCGGGUUGCAUGCAACUGAAUUUGGUGGUUUAAGUACUGAGAAUCUGUAAAUUAUUCUUACGAAYGAUUKAAGGCUUAGUWUUCCAACUACUAUUGCGG
Molecule: ribosomal RNA, 253 nt
Filed under: Gomphiocephalus hodgsoni
Lineage: Eukaryota; Metazoa; Arthropoda; Collembola; Poduromorpha; Hypogastruridae
Description: partial 28S ribosomal RNA
Source: RNAcentral